UACGUAGGGUGCGAGCGUUGUCCGGAAUUAUUGGGCGUAAAGAGCUCGUAGGCGGUCUGUCGCGUCGGAUGUGAAAACUCGGGGCUCAACCCCGGGCCUGCAUUCGAUACGGGCAGACUAGAGUACGGCAGGGGAGACUGGAAUUCCUGGUGUAGCGGUGAAAUGCGCAGAUAUCAGGAGGAACACCGGUGGCGAAGGCGGGUCUCUGGGCCGAAACUGACGCUGAGGAGCGAAAGCGUGGGGAGCAAACAGG
This 253-nucleotide ribosomal RNA is filed under the name uncultured bacterium. RNAcentral's name for it is "partial 16S ribosomal RNA". It matches the Rfam family "Bacterial small subunit ribosomal RNA", at positions 524 to 776 of the family's 1533-position model. The record is from RNAcentral.